This 444-nucleotide ribosomal RNA is filed under the name uncultured bacterium. RNAcentral's name for it is "partial 16S ribosomal RNA". It matches the Rfam family "Bacterial small subunit ribosomal RNA", at positions 331 to 792 of the family's 1533-position model. The record is from RNAcentral.
CCAGACUCCUACGGGAGGCAGCAGUGGGGGAUAUUGCACAAUGGGGGGAACCCUGAUGCAGCGACGCCGCGUGGGUGAAGGAGCGUUUCGGCGCGUAAAGCCCUAUCGGCAGGGAAGAAGAUGACGGUACCUGACCAAGAAGCUCCGGCUAAAUACGUGCCAGCAGCCGCGGUAAUACGUAUGGAGCAAGCGUUAUCCGGAUUUACUGGGUGUAAAGGGAGCGCAGGCGGCCUUGCAAGUCUGAUGUGAAAGGCCGGGGCCCAACCCCGGGACUGCUCUGGAAACUGUAAAGCUGGAGUGCGGGAGGGGCAGGCGGAAUUCCUGGUGUAGCGGUGAAAUGCGUAGAUAUCAGGAGGAACACCGGCGGCGAAGGCGGCCUGCUGGACCGUAACUGACGUUGAGGCUCGAAAGCGUGGGGAGCAAACAGGAUUAGAUACCCUCGUA